GUGUCAGCAGCCGCGGUAAUACGGAGGGUGCGAGCGUUAAUCGGAAUUACUGGGCGUAAAGCGCUUGCAGGUGGUUUGUUAAGUCAGAUGUGAAAGCCCGGGGCUCAACCUCGGAAUUGCAUUUGAAACUGGCAGGCUAGAGUACUGUAGAGGGGGGUAGAAUUUCAGGUGUAGCGGUGAAAUGCGUAGAGAUCUGAAGGAAUACCGGUGGCGAAGGCGGCCCCCUGGACAGAUACUGACACUCAGAUGCGAAAGCGUGGGGAGCAAACAGGAUUAGAAACCCC
RNAcentral lists this ribosomal RNA (284 nucleotides) under uncultured prokaryote. RNAcentral's name for it is "partial 16S ribosomal RNA". It matches the Rfam family "Bacterial small subunit ribosomal RNA", at positions 505 to 788 of the family's 1533-position model. The record is from RNAcentral.